UACAGAGGGUGCAAGCGUUAUCCGGAUUUACUGGGUUUAAAGGGUGCGCAGGCGGAUAUGUAAGUCAGUGGUGAAAUCUCCGGGCUUAACCCGGAAACUGCCGUUGAUACUAUAUAUCUUGAAUGCUGUGGAGGUAAGCAGAAUAUGUCAUGUAGCGGUGAAAUGCUUAGAGAUGACAUAGAAUACCUAUUGCGAAGGCAGCUUACUACGCAGAUAUUGACGCUCAUGCACGAAAGCGUGGGGAUCAAACAGG
RNAcentral lists this ribosomal RNA (253 nucleotides) under uncultured bacterium. Its description in RNAcentral is "partial 16S ribosomal RNA". It matches the Rfam family "Bacterial small subunit ribosomal RNA", at positions 524 to 776 of the family's 1533-position model. The record is from RNAcentral.